GACAUGAAGCAAAUGGCACAUGGGGAGCAAAAAACACACAAAACACGGAACAAAGUCUGACAUGACUCCCCCCUUCCGGAAGGCGCAUCCCGCGCUGGCACAUGGGGAG
Long non-coding RNA from Sinocyclocheilus grahami, 109 nucleotides. RefSeq lists it as uncharacterized. The record is from RefSeq and is a predicted model, not a curated record. NCBI's taxonomy places the organism in Eukaryota, Metazoa, Chordata, Actinopteri, Cypriniformes, Cyprinidae. The transcript is spliced from 3 exons.